AAGGGUGAGGAAUAGAUAGGAACGUACCCUGUGCUCUGGGAUAGCGUCUGAAGCUUCGGCUUCUUCCGAAAGGGGCGGUAAUACCAGAUAAUGUCCUUCGGGACCAAAGAUUUAUCGGCAUUGGAGCGGCCUAUCUCCUAUCAGCUUGUUGGUGAGGUAACGGCUCACCAAGGCAACGACGGGUAGCGGGACUGAGAGGUUGGCCCGCCACAUCGGGACUGAGACACUGCCCGGACCUCCACGGAGGGCUGCAGUAACGGAUAUUGGGCAAUGGGCGAAAGCCUGACCCAGCAAUGCCGCGUGCAGGAUGAAGCCCCUAGGGGUGUAAACUGCUGUCAGGGGUCAGAAAGCUGGUUUCGGCCAGUUGAUCAACCCCAGAGGAAGUCACGGCUAACUUCGUGCCAGCAGCCGCGGUAAUACGAAGGUGGCAAGCGUUAUUCGGAAUCAUUGGGCUUAAAGGGCACGCAGGCGGAAUAGUGUGUGUUGUGUGAAAUCCCCCGGCUUAACCGGGGAAUUGCACAGCAAACUGCUGUUCUUGAGGCAGGUAGGGGUGCAUGGAACUCUUGGUGGAGCGGUGGAAUGCGUAGAUAUCAAGAGGAACGCCAGAGGUGAAGACGGUGCACUGGGCCUGUCCUGACGCUGAGGUGCGAAAGCGUGGGGAGCGAACGGGAUUAGAUACCCCGGUAGUCCACGCCGUAAACGAUGUCUACUAGGUCGUGGGUGUUUUGACACAUUCACGGCUGGAGCAAAAGUGUUUAGUAGUCUGCCUGGGGAGUACGGCCGCAAGGUUAUAACUCAAAUGAAUUGACGGGGGCUCAUACAAGCGGUGGAGCAUGUGGAUUAAUUCGAAGCAACGCGCAGAUCCUUACCUGGGUUUGACAUGCUUGUAUGCGUUCUCUGAAAGGAGUUAGGCUGCCUUCGGGUGAAACUUGCACAGGUGCUGCAUGGCUGUAGUCAGCUCGUGUCGUGAGAUGUCGGGUUAAGUCCUUUAACGAGCGAAACCCUUGCCGUUAGUUGCCAGCGAGGUAAUGUCGGGGACUCUAACGGGACCGCCGGUGUUAAACCGGAGGAAGGUGGGGAUGACGUCAAGUCCUCAUGGCCUUUAUGCCCAGGGCUUCACACGUGCUACAAUGGCAAUUA
Molecule: ribosomal RNA, 1140 nt
Filed under: uncultured organism
Description: bacterial SSU rRNA
Rfam family: Bacterial small subunit ribosomal RNA
Source: RNAcentral